UACGGAGGAUGCGAGCGUUAUCCGGAUUUAUUGGGUUUAAAGGGUGCGCAGGCGGGAGACUAAGUCGGUGGUGAAAUUUUGCAGCUCAACUGUAACAGUGCCAUUGAUACUGGUUUUCUUGAGUGUGGAUGAAGUAGGCGGAAUUUGUGGUGUAGCGGUGAAAUGCAUAGAUAUCACGAGGAACUCCGAUCGCGUAGGCAGCUUACUAAAUUACAACUGACGCUUAGGCACGAAGGCGUGGGUAUCAAACAGGAUUAGAUACCCGU
Molecule: ribosomal RNA, 266 nt
Filed under: uncultured prokaryote
Description: partial 16S ribosomal RNA
Rfam family: Bacterial small subunit ribosomal RNA
Source: RNAcentral